RNAcentral lists this small nuclear RNA (163 nucleotides) under Crocodylus porosus (Australian saltwater crocodile). RNAcentral describes it as "U1 spliceosomal RNA (ENSCPRG00005016993.1)". It matches the Rfam family "U1 spliceosomal RNA". From Rfam's summary of the family: U1 is a small nuclear RNA (snRNA) component of the spliceosome (involved in pre-mRNA splicing). Lineage: Eukaryota; Metazoa; Chordata; Crocodylia; Crocodylidae. The record is from Rfam by way of RNAcentral.
AAAAGUACCUGGCAGAAGAGAUACCAUGAACAACAAGGUGGUUCUUCCAGGGUCAGACCUGUCCUUUGCAUUCUGGGCAGGCUGACCCCUGCAAGUUUCUGAAUGUGGAAAACUUGACUGCACAAUUCUGUGGCAGUGAGGGACUGUGCUAAUGGUUCCCCCA